Molecule: long non-coding RNA, 956 nt
Filed under: Medicago truncatula (barrel medic)
Lineage: Eukaryota; Viridiplantae; Streptophyta; Magnoliopsida; Fabales; Fabaceae
Description: long non-coding RNA (MTRU_LNC001736)
Source: RNAcentral
GUUUCUACACACUUGGGUACAAGGUUGUAUGCACUCCAAAGGGUACAUCUACUAUGAUAAAUAUGGUAUGCUAUCUAUGCUAAUUGAAUAAAACAUUUACUAUGUUGUGCUGUUUUUGCUGUUGUGGGGUUUGUCUGGCUGCUGGAGAUGCAAGUAGUUUGGUUUAUGUAGUCUGGGUUUUUGGCUGUUUAUGGAUGUCUGUUUUGGGCCUUGCUGUUUUUUUCACCUUCAGAUCUGCAUUUCUGGUGUUGCUGUCAUAGUUUUAGGUUGUGGGGGGUGCAGAGAGCGCGUCCGUGCAGCUGUUUGUUGUUUUAUCAGGCUUUUGUAGUACCUGCUGGCCUGUUUUCGGGGGGCCGCAGCCAUGCCGGCCAUGUCGGAGGCGGGUUUUAGGGGUGUUUGUGCUGAUUGUGAGGCAGGGGUAUGCGUUUUUGCGGUCUCUUAGGGAGCGUACUUAGUCUUUUGGGCUACUUUAUUUUGUAUCCCUUUUUACUGUUCGUAUAUUUCAACCUCAUUAUUUGUAUUACCGUGUUGUAGCAUGUGUGCUAGGCACACCCCUUGGCUUCGCUUGUGUGUGGUUUGAGGUGUUUUGUAUGUGAUCCGUCUAUAUACGACAUCGUCUUUGUUGCCUUUUGUUUCAACAUUCACAUUGACUAUUAUUAUUUUUGUUCUUUUUAGUAGUUGGUGUUGAAGAUUUCUACAAAUAGCUUGCUCAUACAUAUGCAUCGUGUCAUGUAGGGGCUAAUCUUGGGUAGCGACUAUGAUUGUAGAUCCAUGACAAAGUGCUAAAGGAAAAUGAGGAUGAUGUUAUCAACACAAAUGAAGAGAAGUUCAAUGUCCACAAAUAUGCAAGUUUAUGGUAGUUUAGUCAAAGAACUUUGAUUUUGAACUUAUGUUGAAUUUGCACUAGGAAGUGUAAUGUCAUUGGAGAAUGUAUGAAUUAGUGACUCAAACUCAAU